GCUAAACCAUGCACCGAAGCUGCGGCAGCGACGCUGAUGCGUUGUUGGGUAGGGGAGCGUUCUGUAAGCCUGCGAAGGUGUGCUGUGAGGCAUGCUGGAGGUAUCAGAAGUGCGAAUGCUGACAUAAGUAACGAUAAAGCGGGUGAAAAGCCCGCUCGCCGGAAGACCAAGGGUUCCUGUCCAACGUUAAUCGGGGCAGGGUGAGUCGACCCCUAAGGCGAGGCCGAAAGGCGUAGUCGAUGGGAAACAGGUUAAUAUUCCUGUACUUGGUGUUACUGCGAAGGGGGGACGGAGAAGGCUAUGUUGGCCGGGCGACGGUUGUCCCGGUUUAAGCGUGUAGGCUGGUUUUCCAGGCAAAUCCGGAAAAUCAAGGCUGAGGCGUGAUGACGAGGCACUACGGUGCUGAAGCAACAAAUGCCCUGCUUCCAGGAAAAGCCUCUAAGCAUCAGGUAACAUCAAAUCGUACCCCAAACCGACACAGGUGGUCAGGUAGAGAAUACCAAGGCGCUUGAGAGAACUCGGGUGAAGGAACUAGGCAAAAUGGUGCCGUAACUUCGGGAGAAGGCACGC
Molecule: ribosomal RNA, 570 nt
Filed under: Escherichia coli
Lineage: Bacteria; Pseudomonadati; Pseudomonadota; Gammaproteobacteria; Enterobacterales; Enterobacteriaceae
Description: partial 23S ribosomal RNA
Rfam family: Bacterial large subunit ribosomal RNA
Source: RNAcentral